AUAAGUUAUUCACAGGAAUGGCGCUGCUUGCUGAAUGCACCUAACAGAUGACUUGAAAAUUACAGAGGUGGGUGCCUGCAUCCUAAUCUUUUUAUACCAUAACCUGUUCUAGAUAAUGAGCUUUAAACACAUGAUGACAAAAUUGUAGAAGAAAACCUGAUUACCUGUAAUCUUGUGGGUUUAUUCUCCCUUUGUGCAUGUGUUUAAGCAGUGAGUUGUUUUUUUAAAAAAUCAUUCACAGUAGUUAUGUGGAAGACCUGAGGGAGAAUUAUGGUCUUAGCUCUGAGCACAGUAAAUUUGUAUAUUGAGUUAAUUGGCAGUCAGUGGUUAUGGUAUAUAAAGAGAUUAUAGAGCCACAAUGCUGCCUUCUAUAUUGUCAUCACAUCUUAGUUCCUUUUCCCAUUGCUUUGCAGAAGUUCCUAGCCACCAGACUUGCUCCCCUGCUUCUUCCCUUUAGAGCCAUGAAGACUGUGAAACUACUUCGCCAAUCCAGCACAGUUUCGGUGGAAACAUAGGUGGUUCUUUGUAGAAAACGCCUAUUGGAUCAACUCACAGCAGAUGCUUUAGACUAGACUCUGAUCAUCUUUGCUGCUCGCUACCUGGACAACCCAUGCAGCUGCUUUCUUGCAAAGUCUGCCUAGGUGUCCCAGAACACACACACAAAAAUUCAGCACUGAACCAGAAGCACCAGAAAUCCGCACCUGGAUGAUCCCUAAGGAACUGGACACAACUUCAGUUUCCAGGAUCACCUUUUUACAAGAUCAUAUAGAAUUUGGUAUUUAAAAUAUAGAUGGGAUUGACACAGGACAAAAUGCUAUGUAAUAUACACUUCAUAUAUGUGGGUAAUUUAAAGGCUAACUGAUGUAUAAUGGAGCUACACCGUUCCCCCCAAGAGAGAACAAAACCUUGCAACACUGUUUUCAAGUGUGUGUUACAUUCUCCAAACUAGGGAACAGGAAGUGGAAUUACAAGAGGAGGGGUUUCUAAUACAGUAGCUGUGUAGACAGUAGAUUUGAGCUGGAGUUAUUCCAAUCCACUUUAACCCCUGGACAUAAUGUUUACUUGCUAAACAGUGGAACGCCAGCUGUUAUAACACACAUCGCUCUUUUCCAGCACACCAAGUAAGAAGGUGUGUUUAUACAAGCCUGAAUGGUUACUUGCAGACAAAUAGCAUCCAUGCAAUGAUGCUAGUAUGCUAGUAGUAGACAGUCAAGUGAAGCAGAAGUUCAAUCACGGUCCAUGGUGUCCAGCAUUAAACCUGGCAAAUAUUUAAUGCCAAAGCGUCAUGUUGAUCCAGAUUUUUAAGAUGGCACCAUGAUACCAGCAUGGAAGUACAGAUAGGUGGCUGAGAAACUCUUUUGCCUAACGAUGUAGCAAUUUGUUUUCUUAUAAAUAAAUGUUCAAGAGAAAUCAGGGGAGGUGUUUUUUCAUGUGCCUCAUCUGCUUUGCUUGAAAGCAAUAUCUCUAGGCAGCCUCCUUAAGGGAAAUGGUCAGUCUGCUGCUGUUCUAGUCAUUUGCCAUUCAAGCUGCAUAGGACUGAGCAAAAUCAAAUUCAGAUGGCAUUCUGAGGUGGAAUAAGUCCACCUGAGUGGAACAGUUGGUGCCUUUAGAUUAUUGGCUUUUCUGAAGGCUACGGCUGCAGUGGGGCCACCUGAGGAGAUAAAAUUAUUCCUGGUGAAUCCUUUUGAUUAUUAGCUAUUCUGCAUAACACUGACCACACAAAGAGUGCGUUUUAGGGUGGAUGGAGGACUUAGUAAAAAUGCACUUUUUUAAACCACUAGUGAGGGUGACUCAGGCUCAAACCUCUGCUUUUUUGCUUUUUUUUUUUUUUUUUUUUAGUUACAAGAAAUCAACAGGCC
RNAcentral lists this long non-coding RNA (1859 nucleotides) under Podarcis lilfordi (Lilford's wall lizard). The record is from RNAcentral. Lineage: Eukaryota; Metazoa; Chordata; Lepidosauria; Squamata; Lacertidae.